RNAcentral lists this ribosomal RNA (251 nucleotides) under uncultured prokaryote. RNAcentral describes it as "partial 16S rRNA". It matches the Rfam family "Bacterial small subunit ribosomal RNA", at positions 525 to 775 of the family's 1533-position model. The record is from RNAcentral.
ACGUAGGGGGCGAGCGUUACUCGGAAUUAUUGGGUGUAAAGGGCGAGUAGGCGGCUUUACAAGUUAGUUGUGAAAUCCUGCAGCUCAACUGAAGAACUGCUCUUAAAACUGUUUAGCUUGAGUUUGGGAGAGGAAAGCGGAAUUCUCGGUGUAAGAGUGAAAUCCGUAGAUAUCGGGAGGAACACCAGUGGCGAAGGCGGCUUUCUGGCCCAGUACUGACGCUGAAGUGCGAAAGCGAGGGGAGCAAACAG